GGCUGCACCUCACUCUCUACUGACAGUCUUCAGUAGAGAGAAAGUCGGUUGGGUAACGCAGGAACCUGUGGCAGUCAUGCCUGGUGUUCUUCAUUUUCUCAAAAUGGGAGUGUCCAGCAAUUCAACUUGGCCAUGGCCGGGCAGCUCAAUCGGUUAGAGCGUCGUCUCUAAUACACCAAGAUGGAACCUAGGGGGCCAAUUUAUUAAUUUGUUCACUCAUCGAAUAAAGACUGAUUGAUCACCAACUUUGGGCCAAAUCCUGGAGGAAGAAAGGCGAAUAAGGCCCAACCUUCACUGGCCAGAGCGGGGAGAGUGACUAAACAAGUGACCAUCCUGAAUGUGUAACUGCGAAUAAUGAAGGUGUCACAGAAGAGCUUUGAAAGGAAGGAGCGGCCCUUUCCCCCCGGCACCGUCUCACCUGUGCCGUCUGUGGGCGGUUUCUCUGCACACUGGGGUUGAAAUCGUCUAAAUCCACGCCUGGAGCACUGCCCAAUAUUGCAAACGGGAGGGUAAAGUUGGCAUGAAUUUUAUGGAGAAAAAUUUGCCAAUAGCUAGCUAAAUUUUCCAGCAUUUUCUCUUCUAGGAAGAUACUUUUAUUUGCAUGUGUAAGGAAUCACAUGUGAACAGGGUUUUGUACUACAGUGCCAUUGGUGAUAACAAACACUGGAGAUAAACUUAAUGCUCAAUGUUAAUCACAGAGAUGGUAU
Long non-coding RNA from Artibeus jamaicensis (Jamaican fruit-eating bat), 707 nucleotides. RefSeq lists it as uncharacterized. The transcript is spliced from 3 exons. NCBI's taxonomy places the organism in Eukaryota, Metazoa, Chordata, Mammalia, Chiroptera, Phyllostomidae. The record is from RefSeq and is a predicted model, not a curated record.